AGAGUUUGAUCCUGGCUCAGGAUGAACGCUAGCGGCAGGCCUAAUACAUGCAAGUCGAACGGUGAUAGCAAUAUCAUAGUGGCGCACGGGUGCGUAACACGUAUGCAACCUACCUAUUAUUGGGGGAUAGCCUUUGGAAACGGAGAUUAAUACCCCAUAGUACAUUUGAUUGGCAUCAAUUAAAUGUUAAAGAUUUAUCGGUAUAAGCUGGGCAUGCGUCCAAUUAGUUAGUUGGUGAGGUAAUGGCUCACCAAGACUUUGAUUGGUAGGGGAACUGAGAGGUUAAUCCCCCACACUGGCACUGAGAUACGGGCCAGACUCCUACGGGAGGCAGCAGUAGGGAAUAUUGGGCAAUGGAGGCAACUCUGACCCAGCCAUGCCGCGUGCAGGAAGAAGGCGUUAUGCGUUGUAAACUGCUUUUAUAUAGGAAGAAAUAGUCCUUGCGAGGAAAGUUGACGGUACUAUAUGAAUAAGCACCGGCUAACUCCGUGCCAGCAGCCGCGGUAAUACGGAGGGUGCAAGCGUUGUCCGGAUUUAUUGGGUUUAAAGGGUGCGUAGGCGGUUUAUUAAGUCAGUGGUGAAAGACGGUCGCUCAACGAUUGCAGUGCCAUUGAUACUGGUAG
This 623-nucleotide ribosomal RNA is filed under the name uncultured bacterium. RNAcentral describes it as "bacterial SSU rRNA". It matches the Rfam family "Bacterial small subunit ribosomal RNA", at positions 8 to 639 of the family's 1533-position model. The record is from RNAcentral.